Chinchilla lanigera (long-tailed chinchilla) is the source of this 1982-nucleotide long non-coding RNA. NCBI's taxonomy places the organism in Eukaryota, Metazoa, Chordata, Mammalia, Rodentia, Chinchillidae. The record is from Ensembl.
AUGGAAACACAAGGUGAGGGCGAUUACAGAGGACCCAGCCUCCAGCCUCCUCACCAGCCCGAGAGGCCAAGCUGCAAAGCUGCGCCGUUGUUUCAAGAACGCUCACUAGAGGGCAGCAGAGCCCACGUGUGCGCGCCUGGAGCGCGGGAAGGCUGCGCGGUCCCCAGCCUUCCGCAGGGGAGACGGGCCCUGGGCCUGGGUCCGAACAGCUGGAGAGGCCUUCUCAAUAUCGAUUCGCGCGAAGGAGCGACCCCACCUGCCUGCCGCGGUGACCCUGGUGUGUCCGCAGGUGCAGUUCUCCCGCAGGCCCCUUUCCUGGCCUCGGCAGGUGGGGGGCGGGGUCCAGAAUCUGCUGCCCGGUUACACCAGCUCCCGCCCCCACUCGGGGGCCCUCAGGGCUUCUGUGUGAGCGUGUGCGUGUCCCGCAGUGUCCAUCGCCGCUCAUGGUGCCACCGCGCAGUUUAUUUUUGCUGAAAUCCUUUUAAAACUCAAAGCCUAAGUAGGUCCUUGCAGGUCCUAAGGCAGUCCCUCCUUGGCUCAGCCUCACCCACCUUCCGUUUCAGCCUGAGCUCCCUGGUUCCUCUGCAGCGAGCUGAGCUGUUCUGGACCCUAAGCACAGGCUGCCUCCUCCAGGAAGCCCUCUAGGACCCCCUUCUCUGUACACCCUCGGUGUUUCGUCUGUAUCUCCUGGUCAUACUUGUCUCUGCUGUUCUUGACAAGCCUGGGGCUCCCGGGGGUGGGGGGUUCCUCUUUGCAGAGUAAGUUGAUUAAGUAGGCAUGGGUGAAAUGAUCUACCGUGAAUCCACAUGGCCUCAGAGCAAGAUGUGUUCUGCUCACUCCCAAAGCGUGGACUUGCGGGCUCUCGCCCUCUCAGCUGGCUCUCCCAGGGGCGUGUCCUACGCUCCGCCCCAAGACCAGUCUCCCUGUGGUGUUUCUCCCUCAGCAUAGUGGCCCCCCUUCCUAUUUGGGUGUCCGCCCUUGCUCUGGCUGAAGAAUAGGGGAGGAAGGAGCAGGGCCCUCCUCCAGACACAGCUUUCUCCCAGCCUCCGGAGGGCCUGGGAUGUCCCCGCAGGUAGGCAGGGCUCAUGGCCUCUCCUUCCCCUAGAAGGACCCCCAACUCUAAGCGGAAGUUGGACAAGGCUCCGGGCAAGGUCUACACAGGAAAGCCUGAAAGGACAAGCUACACCCUCUGCCCCUCCCUCCGGAAGGACCCAGUCUUGCUGACUCCGCCUUCCCUGGCCAGGAGUCUGCAGUUGCUCCUGAACCACCUCCAUCCUCGCUUCCCUCUGGGGCCUGGGUGCAGAGCUGCCUUCACCCUCUUGUCUCUCUCCUGUUCCUCCAGAGGCCCUGGGUCCUCCCAUCAGUCUCUGCCGCCUCGGGGCAGUGACCACCUUAACUCCCCAGACCCCUCAGCCUCGGCCGCUUCUCUGUGGCAAUGGCUCCCUCAGGCCCCUGGGCUCAGGGCCAUGUCAUGCCUUGUAGCGCGUGGGUGAUGUAGGGUGACUGCAUAGGGAGCUGGAGACAUCAUAGCACAGGAGUGACCCAGGUCUAAGUACCUUCAUGUCUCGCAGCCCAGGGGAGGUUGGGUGCUCCCCCCAGGUCAGGGGCACCCUUGUGCCAUCUGGACAGGAGGUGAUGAGAAGUAGCCCCCAAAUCAGAGCAGGGUUUGGUAGACCACACUUACAGUUAACUUGCAACGCAGUGCAUGCCCUGAGCUUUCGUGCUGGGUCUGAGAUGUUCAUUUGGUCUAUACCAAUUCCAUUCUUCCGUGCUCUUCAGAAAGGCAGCCCCAGGUGGGUCCCAUGGUGGGCUUCUUAGGUCUGAGUGGGAAUCAUUCCCAGGCCAGCAAAGCCACCUGCACAGCCCCAGGGGCCAUUGUGUGGUGGCGGAGCCCCGCCUCUGGGUUUACUUCUCUCUGUGCAUGGAGACUCCUGCCCAGCACGUGCGCCCUGCAGAAGCCAGCUCCCUGCCACUGGGCUAAU